UGGCUCAGAUGGUAAAGCGUCUGCCUGCAAUGCAGGAGACCCAGGUUCGAUUCCUGG
Molecule: transfer RNA, 57 nt
Filed under: Bos indicus (zebu cattle)
Lineage: Eukaryota; Metazoa; Chordata; Mammalia; Artiodactyla; Bovidae
Also listed under: 1 other name
Rfam family: tRNA
About the family: Transfer RNA (tRNA) molecules are approximately 80 nucleotides in length. Their secondary structure includes four short double-helical elements and three loops (D, anti-codon, and T loops).
Source: Rfam by way of RNAcentral